ACGAACGCUGGCGGCGUGCUUAACACAUGCAAGUCGAACGGUGAAGCGCCUUCCUUUUUGGUGGGUGUGGAUGAGUGGCGAACGGGUGAGUAACACGUGAGUAACCUGCCCCCUUCUUCUGGAUAACCGCAUGAAAGUGUGGCUAAUACGGGAUAUUCUGGGUCUGUCGCAUGAUGGGUCUGGGAAAGAUAUUGUUUCGGUGGGGGAUGGGCUCGCGGCCUAUCAGCUUGUUGGUGGGGUGAUGGCCUACCAAGGCGGUGACGGGUAGCCGGCCUGAGAGGGUGGACGGUCACACUGGGACUGAGACACGGCCCAGACUCCUACGGGAGGCAGCAGUGGGGAAUAGUGCACAAUGGGCGCAAGCCUGAUGCAGCGACGCCGCGUGAGGGAUGGAGGCCUGCGGGUUGUGAACCUCUUUCGCCAGUGAAGCAGGCCUGCCUCGUUUGUGGGUGGGUUGACGGUAGCUGGAUAAGAAGCGCCGGCUAACUACGUG
This 493-nucleotide ribosomal RNA is filed under the name uncultured bacterium. RNAcentral describes it as "partial 16S ribosomal RNA". It matches the Rfam family "Bacterial small subunit ribosomal RNA", at positions 29 to 507 of the family's 1533-position model. The record is from RNAcentral.